GGUCAAGCUACAAAGGGCAAUCGGUGGAUGCCUAGGUGCCAAGAGGCGAGGAAAGACGUUGAAAGCUGCGAUAAGCUUCGGGGAGCUGCUAAACAAGCUUUGAUCCGGAGAUUUCUGAAUGGGGAAACCCAUCUCGGGUAAUGCCGAGAUAUCUUUAGGUGAAUAAAUAGCCUAAAGAAGCUAACGAGGAGAACUGAAACAUCUCAGUAACCUCAGGAAAAGAAAACAAGAGUGAUUUUCAAAGUAGCGGCGAGCGAAAUGGAAAUAGCCCAAACCUAAUAUAUGUCAAGCCCGAAAGCGUUGUAUAUUAGGGGUCGAGGGACUUAAUUGGAUGGAGUUUCGGAUCCAUCGGGAAGUUAAAAAACUGACUUAUAGCUGAAAAGUCUGGAAAGUCUUGCCAAAGAAGGUGACAGUCCUGUAAGUUAAAUAAGAUCAGACUUUCUGAGUUAAGUUCCCAAGUACUGCGGGGCACGAGGAAUCCCGUGGGAAUUUAGGAGGACCAUCUCCUAAGGUUAAAUACUACUUGGCAACCGAUAGUGAACAAGUACCGUGAGGGAAAGGUGAAAAGAACUCCGGGAGGAGAGUGAAAUAGUACCUGAAACCGUUUGCCUACAAGCCAGUGGGAGGGCUAUAAAUAUAGUCGAAGGCAACUUUGACAAUAUUUAGCCUGACUGCGUGCCUUUUGCAUAAUGAGUCAGCGAGUUACUCUACGUAGCGAGGUUAAGCCGUAAGGUGUAGCCGAAGCGAAAGCGAGUUUGAAUAGAGCGUACUAGUUGCGUGGAGUAGACCCGAAACCAAGUGAUCUAUCCAUGGCCAGGGUGAAGCGCAAGUAAAAUUGCGUGGAGGCCCGAACUAAUGUAGGUUGAAAACUGCUUGGAUGAGCUGUGGAUAGGGGUGAAAGGCCAAACAAACUUGGAAAUAGCUGGUUCUCCCCGAAAUAUAUUUAGGUAUAGCCUUGCGAAGUAAUUAACGGGGGUAGAGCACUGGAUGGGCUAGGGGUCUUACCAGAUUACCAAACCUAACCAAACUCCGAAUACCGUUAAUGUAAAAGCAGGAGUCAGACUACGGGAGCUAAGUUUCGUGGUCAAAAGGGAAAGAGCCCAGAUCGCCAGCUAAGGUCCCCAAAUUUACGCUAAGUGGGAAAGGAUGUGGAAAUGCUGAGACAACCAGGAUGUUGGCUUAGAAGCAGCCAUCAUUUAAAGAAAGCGUAACAGCUCACUGGUCGAGUGAGUCUGCGCCAAAAAUGUAACGGGGCUAAAGCGUAAUACCGAAGCUGCGAGAUUCUUAAAUAAGGAUCGGUAGGGGAGCAUUCUGUUAGGAGAGAAGGUCUAUCGAAAGGAGGGCUGGACCUGACAGAAGAGAUCAUGCUGACAUGAGUAGCGAUAAAGCAGGUGAAAAACCUGCUCGCCGUAAGUCUAAGGUUUCCUGAGUAAAGUUAAUCUGCUCAGGGUUAGUCGAUCCCUAAGCUGAGGCCGAAAGGCGUAAGCGAUGGAAAACAGGUUAAUAUUCCUGUACCACCGGAUUAUCAAUGUCCCGCAAGGGAUGAGAGAGAAGGGGGGACGCAGGAGGGUAGAUCAUCCGUCUGUUGGAAUAGGCGGUUCAAGCUAGUAGAUGGAAAGGACAGGUAAAUCCGUUCUUUCAGUAAUAAACAUCGAGAGGUGAUGAGGAGAGGCGCAAGCCUCACAAACUGAUUGAUCCCAUGCUGCCAAGAAAAGCCUCUAUCGAGAUGGUCAGGUGAUCGUACUAUAAACCGACACAGGUGGACGAGGAGAAAAUCCUCAGGCGCUUGAGAGAACUCUGGUUAAGGAACUCGGCAAAUUGACACCGUAACUUAGGGAGAAGGUGUGCCUCCGGUAUGUGAAGCAACAAGCGUGUGGAGCAGAUGGAGGUCGCAGAGAAGUGGCGGUAGCGACUGUUUACUAAAAACACAGGACUCUGCAAAGUCGUAAGACGAGGUAUAGGGUCUGACGCCUGCCCGGUGCUGGAAGGUUAAGGGGAGAUGUUAGGGCAACCAAAGCAUUGAACCGAAGCCCCAGUAAACGGCGGCCGUAACUAUAACGGUCCUAAGGUAGCGAAAUUCCUUGUCGGGUAAGUUCCGACCUGCACGAAUGGCGUAACGACUUCCGCACUGUCUCAACCAGAGACUCAGCGAAAUUGUAUUGGCGGUGAAGAUACCGUCUACCCGCUAAAAGACGGAAAGACCCCGGCACCUUUACUAUAGCUUGACAUUGGAUUUUGGAAUUGCAUGUGUAGGAUAGGUGGGAGGCUUUGAGACUGGGACGCUAGUUUCAGUGGAGCCAACCUUGAAAUACCACCCUUGUGGUUUUUGAAUUCUAACUUUGACCCGUAACCCGGGCAAAGGACAAUGUCUGGUGGGUAGUUUGACUGGGGCGGUCGCCUCCCAAAGAGUAACGGAGGCGCGCGAAGGUUCCCUCAGGCUGAUUGGAAACCAGCCGUUGAGUGUAAAGGCAUAAGGGAGCUUGACUGCGAGAGAGACAUUUCGAGCAGGUACGAAAGUAGGUCUUAGUGAUCCGGCGGUUCUGUAUGGAAGGGCCGUCGCUCAACGGAUAAAAGGUACGCCGGGGAUAACAGGCUUAUCGCCCCCAAGAGUUCACAUCGACGGGGCGGUUUGGCACCUCGAUGUCGGCUCAUCACAUCCUGGGGCUGAAGCAGGUCCCAAGGGUUCGGCUGUUCGCCGAUUAAAGUGGUACGUGAGCUGGGUUUAAAACGUCGUGAGACAGUUUGGUCCCUAUCUUUAGUGGGUGUAGGAUAUUUGAGAGGCUCUGUUCUUAGUACGAGAGGACCGGAACGGACGAACCAAUGGUGUUCCAGUUGUCGUGCCAACGGCAGCGCUGGGUAGCUAAGUUCGGAAUGGAUAACCGCUGAAAGCAUCUAAGCGGGAAACCACCCUCAAAACUAGAUAUCCCUCUGUGUCAAAAACACAGACUUAAGAUCCCUUGUAGACUACAAGGUUGAUAGGCUAGAUGUGUAAGUCCAGUAAUGGAUUGAGCUUACUAGUACUAAUAGAUCGUGCGGCUUGGCCAC
This 3045-nucleotide ribosomal RNA is filed under the name Desulfobacterales bacterium. Its description in RNAcentral is "23S ribosomal RNA". It matches the Rfam family "Bacterial large subunit ribosomal RNA". The record is from RNAcentral. Lineage: Bacteria; Pseudomonadati; Thermodesulfobacteriota; Desulfobacteria; Desulfobacterales.